CCUUGAAGUAAGCUUAAUUUUAAGACCAAUUUUGUGUUUGGCUUAGUUUCGUUCGACUAAAGACUACUCGAGUCAUUUUCUAGGAAAAGAAACUGCAUUUUGUUUCUUCUUCCUGCUUUUUGUAGUUGUUCACAGCCUCGACAAGACCUUCUUGUACCUCAUAUUUCGCCUAGUCACGCAAAAUAUUAUCUAAAUUCGGAAACCUUAGGGGAAGUGUUUCAUUGGCGUCAUCUAUGCGUCUGUCCUCUAAUAGAUCAUAGGUGAGAACCAAUCAAAAUGCGAGAAUAAUUUGACUUACUAUUGCGUUCGACGCUAGGAGAACGCAUAUUAAUCGCUUCAUUCUCGCGGGUUUAUGUCCCGCGAUUUUCCGCGAUGCCAGAUGAUUUCAGGGUUUGGACGCCAUUUUGGACUGGCUUUUUGGCACACAUAGCCUCGGUCUGACGUGAUGCCUCACUUUGAAUAAUAGUGAGGUCUUACACGAAGUGCUACCCGUGCAUUUCCGUGUGCUUUUCUUCGUUCGUUGUUCUACGUAGGAAUCGUCGCAGUUUUCCCCAAGGAGUCAGCUGCUUUUCUCGGCGAUUCAACUUCUCUGUGAGAAUGAAGUUGCAACACUCACUCAUCCUCAUGGACCCAUGAGGACUCUUGAGGCCGGAAUGAAGUUGCAAGGCUCGACCGUAAUAGCUCGAAUAAAUCAACACGACUUCAUUGAUCAUGGGAAAGACAGCAAAUAUUCCAACGUAGCACAGCAAACGACGAAAAAAAAUGGCAAUGCACCCCACUCAAGGGUUUCCACUGCAGUACCAGAAACAUAUUUAACCUUACUAAACGAUGCGCCAGCUAGAGUUAUGUGACAUGUGAUGCUAAUAAAGGACACAAGAAUUAAACAACACCCUGAAGAAUACACAACUUGGAAAACCCUGAAAGCGGAAGGACAUAAAUGGGCUUUAGUAUGCGCUGCUGUCAAGGGUAUGCUUUUCCAGCAGUUUGCUUUGGGUAUAGGAAUCAGGAUCUGGCAAAACAGUCGUGGAUCUUGAUAUAAAAAGAAUUGAGUUUCUGAUUUGUUUUUAUUAAAUAUAGUAUGCAAUAUUAUUUAGCAUGAAAUAUUAAUAGAUAAGGUAUUUCUGGUACUAAGCCUACAAUUAGAUGUCCAAAUACUAACUGAAUAUCCGCUGCUAUAUCCCAAUCAAAGGAGACCUAUGGCCAAACUCGUGGAUUAAGUAAUCUAGGGAUGAAACAUGUUGGCGAACGUGCAAUUAUUGGUGUAUUAUUAAAGGUGGUUAAAACAUGCUGGGUUUGUACCACGCAAGGUCACACUUAUCUCACAAAGCGUAGGCUUUUUUCGUUGGCUUUUGUUGCACACAUAUUACAAACACAUACGUCCAGAAUAGCUAAGGUGGCAAAAUUGCAGCUGAACAUGAAGUGGUAAAGCUUAAGGGUUCUUGGGUAACAGAGGACACUCCUACCAAAAAAUUCAUAGAGUACUCUUUGUCUGUCUGCUGGGAAAAUUUCCAUGUAUUCAGGUCGUACGAGCUUACACGCCUUUUUCAUUGCAUUUCACUCAAGGCUAUAGGUAAGGUUUCUUACGAGAGAGCACUUCUUUUCCAAUGUGGGACUGCUUGUCUCUCUAUAUAUUGCAUGUAAAAUAGAUCAAAAUAAGUAGCCUCUUUUGCAAGCAUCUUCAGUGUUGAUCCAAAAAAUCUGUCGAUCCAUAAAUACGUGUUCCAACAAGCUCACAGAGGGUUUCUUUCCCUUUGUUAUAUUUUCAGUCAGGAAGCAAAAGUAUAAACAAAGGAAAGGGUAAAAAUCAUUUAAGCAUAUCAAAAUUAAGUAUUUGGGAAUUUUUUUCUCCAAGCCGGAUUAUGUGCAUUUCA
This is a long non-coding RNA of Orbicella faveolata, 1871 nucleotides long. RefSeq lists it as uncharacterized. Lineage: Eukaryota; Metazoa; Cnidaria; Anthozoa; Scleractinia; Merulinidae. The record is from RefSeq and is a predicted model, not a curated record.